CCCCCCCCCCCCCCCCCCCCCCCCCCCCGCCUCUCUCUCUGCAACGGCAAACUACAAAAUCUACAAGAAUCAGAAGUUCAAAACCCAUAUAUUUCAGUAUAUCUAUCUGUCAAAUUAGGGUAAGUGAGGCGUUUGAGAGCAGAUCUGAAAUGGGGAUGAUGUUUUCCAAAAAUCUAUGGGGGAUUGAUUGGUUGGCAGGGAAGCAUUAUAUACAUAUAUGUUGUAAUUGUUUGCUUCCCUACUCCACCCAUUCCUAUGGUUUUCGGUGUUCUCUUUCUUUUCUUAUUCAGUUUUGUCAUCUCUUUUACACACACUCACACACACACACACACACACACACACACACACACACGUAUAUAUAUGUAUGUAUAUAUUGUUUAUAUUUCAGUAUAUCUAUCUGUCUGCAAGAAUCGAAAGUUCAAAACCUAUUACCUAUAUCAAAACCCAUAUCGGCAUAUCAUUUCGGAUUGUUCAAAAAAUCAAAACCCAUAUCUUUCAGUUUCCAUCGCCCACUGUUACAGUUCGGGUUUGCCGUUCGCAAACUUCAGCCGCUGGCCCGCUGUCUCUCAACUCUCAAGCUAUGGAAAAAGAAUGAGGCUCAUUCAGAGGGAUGGGAUGUUUCUAAGGGUGGUUGCCCCUCUCUGUAAACGAUGAUCUCCUACAAAAUAAGGGAUGUGAGAUCAUCUAGAGCCAAUGAUUUCAUUUCCUACAGAAUCAACAGCCCUUUGUGUGUGUGUGUGUGUGUGUAUAUAUUUGUGUGUGUGCGUGCGUGUGCUGGACUGGUGCAUCUCCAGUCCUUGUUCUUCCAUCAUCAUCAAUCAUCAUUAUAAGAGGCUGUGAUGAUAUAUGUUCUGAGUGGAUCAUACUGGCGUUGAGAAUCGGAUCCGUUUGUUGGCGGGGCAAACCAGAGGGUCUGUGAGAGAGAUUUGGUUCUUCUCUCACAGGCAACUGUUGUUGCAGCCAGGGCGUGGGAUAUACUCUUGCCCUGAUCAAAAGCAGAUCUGAGCCUCAAUUGUAAUCAAGUGUAUUUUAUUGAAAAAUUUCAAAAAAAAAACUCUGAACUUAUGUUGCUUAUAUUUCAGUAUAUCUGUCUGUCUGCGAGAAUCAAAAGUUCAAAACCUAUUACCUAUAUCAAAACCCAUAUCAGCAUAUCAUUUCAGAUUGUUCAAAAAAUCAAAACCAUAUCUUUCAGUUUCCAUCGCCCGCUGUUCCAGUUCGGGUUCACCGUUCGCAAGCUUCAGCUGCUGGCCCACUGUCUCUCAACUCUCAAGCUAUGGAAAAAGAAUGAGGCUCGUUCAGAGGGAUGGGAUGUUUCUAAGGGUGGUUGCCCCUCUCUGUAAACGAUGGUCUCCUACAAAAUAAGGGAUGUGAGAUCAUCUAGAGCCAAUGAUUUCAUUUCCUACAGAAUCAACAGCCCUUUGUGUGUAGUGUGUGUGUGUGUAUAUAUAUAUAUAUUUUUUUUUUGUGUGCGCGCGCGCAUGCUGGACUGGUGCAUCUCCAAUCCUUCUUCUUCUUCUUCCAUCAUCAUCAUCAAUCAUCAUCAUCAAUCAUCAUCAAUCAUCAUUAUAAGAGGCUGUGAUGAUAUAUGUUCUGAGUGGAUCAUACUGGCAUUGAGAAUCGGAUCCGUUUGUUGGCGGGGCAAACCAGGGGUCUGUGGGAGUGAGAUUUGGUUCUUCUCUCACAGGCAACUGUUGUUGCAGCCAGGGUGGUGGGAUAUACUCUUGCCCUGAUCAAAAGCAGAUCUGAGCCUCAAUUGUAGUCAAGUGUAUUUUAUUGAAAAUUUUCAAAAAAAAAAAAACUCUGACCUAUAUAUUAAAAUAUAUAUAUAUAUAUAUAUAUAUAUAUAUAUUUCUAUUUGGUGAAAUUUUUUAUGAUCUUUUUUAGGAACAAAAUUUGCAUAGCAAUUUUAGGUAAUCAUCGUAAUCUACAUUUUAUUUCAGCAAAACAAAUAUAUAUAUUUUUUAUUUCUAUAUAUUUCUGUUUUUAUUAUUUUUUUUUUUUGGGUUGUGAAUUAUGUCUACAAGAAAUUUGAAUCUGGGCAUGAAAAAAGAAAAAAAGAAAAGAAAAAAAAGAAUCUGAAUUGGAUUAGAAAUCUGCAGAGAUUGAAUCUGAAAGAAUUUUUAUCAACAUGCCAAGCGUUUUGAAGACGGAAAUCUUUUCAGAACUAAAAAAAAAAUCAAAACAAGAAGUUUGACAGGCAAAAGUAAUUAAUAUAGGGUAAAGUUACUUCUUGAAAAUUAAAAUACUUAUAGAAAGCAUGCUUUUGAGUUAUUUCCGUAGUGUUGGAAGGGGCUUGCCAUGAACUACCUCACACUCUGCUUCCACUCGUAGAUUCUCAAAUAGGAUUAGUAAAUUGGUCAAAAGAAGAGAUAGGGUACUGAGUGGUGAAUUGUUCAGAAAUAAAUUGGUAAUUUUUUUUUUUUUUAAUUACCCAAAUAGGAUUUUCUAUGCUUUAAUCAGUCAAUUGUCUAAAGAAACAUUGUUAAUUAACUAAAAUUGAAUUAAACAACAGUUGAUUUUGGUUGAUAUAUGGUUAUUUUGCCCACCCCAUUGAGAAAUCCUGGAUCUAUAUAUAUAUAUAUAUAUUUAUAUAUGCAGUGGGUUGCUAUAAAUCACAACCACUCUCUAUCAGCCAACAGUUCGUCGACGCCUUGCAAAGCGGUGGCCGACCGCCACAUAGGUCAUGGAAGAAGCUUCUGUAGGCAAUUACCAGUUGAACUGUGUUUAAGAAAGUUGUUGGACUGAGCGGUGUCGGUAAUAGGAUCUGGAUCCGCUAGCCCUCCUCUGGAUGAGUCCCCACUAGGGGGAAAGGGAUUUCUGAAGGGGCUUCAUCAGUCGGGUGUUUUUUGACAAACCCAGCUACAAGGCUCGAUUGAUCCACGAACCCAAAAUAUCAAGGUAGGACUGGUGUUGGCAUUUGGCAUUCAACUGAAGUAGGGCAUUUCAACCAGGGCCGGCCCUGACCCAAGGCGACAAAGGUGGUCGCCUAGUGCCUCAAAAUUUAAAGGCCCGUGGAUGAUGGGCCACCAGAAAAAAAUAAAUAAAUAAAUAAAAAUAAAAAAUAAAAUAAAAUUUUAGGGCAAAUUAUUUCAGCCUCCCCAAUCGCCUCCAUCUCUAUUCUCGUUCUCAACUCUAAACUUGCCCCCUCUCUCUCUCUCUCUCUCUAUCUCUCCAACUGCAAACUACAAAAUCUACAAGAAUCAGAAGUUCAAAACCCAUGUAUUUCAGUUUAUCUCUCUGUCUGCAAGAAUCAAAAGUUGAAAACCUAUUACCUAUAUCAAAACCCCAUAUCGGCAUAUCAUUUCAGAUUGUUCAAAAAAUCCAAACCCAUAUCUUUCAGUUUCCAUUGCCCGCUGUUCCAGUUCGGGUUCGCCGUUCGCAAGCUUCAGCCGGUGUCUCUCAACUCUCAAGCUUCCCCCCCCAAUAUCUUUCAGUUUCCAUUGCCCGCUGUUCCAGUUCGGGUUCGCCGUUCGCAAGCUUCAGCCGGUGUCUCUCAACUCUCAAGCUUCCCCCCCCCCCCCCCCCCCCCCCCCCCCCCCCGCAACUGCUAACUUGUAUGUAUGGGUUUUGUUUUCUAUUUGGUGAAAUUUUUUAUGAUCUUUUUUAUAUAAUUUUUUUUUUUUUACAAUAUAAAGUAACAAAAUUUGCAUUGCAUUUUGAGGUAAUCACCGUAAUCUACAUUUUAUUUCAAUAUAUAUAUAUAUAUCAAUAUUUUUAGGGCAAAUCAUUUCGGCCUCCCCAAUCGCCUCCAUCUCUAUUCUCGUUCUCAACUCUGAACUUGCACUGCACUCGGAAAAAGAAUGAGGCUCGUUCAGAGGGAUGGGAUGUUUCUAAGGGUGGUUGCCCCUCUCUGUAAACGAUGAUCUCCUACAAAAUAAGGGAUGUGAGAUCAUCUAGAGCCAAUGAUUUCAUUUCCUACAGAAUCAACAGCCCUUUGUGUGUGUGUGUGUGUGUAUUUGUGUGUGCGCGUGCUGGACUGGUGCAUCUCCAAUCCUUCUUCUUCCAUCAUCAUCAUCAUUCAUCAUUAUAAGAGGCUGUGAUGAUAUAUGUUCUGAGUGGAUCAUACUGGUGUUGAGAAUUGGAUCCGUUUGUUGGCAGGGCAAAUCAGAGGGUCUGUGGGAGAGAGAUGUGGUUCUUCUCUCACAGGCAACUGUUGUUGCAGCCAGGGCGGUGGGAUAUACUCUUGCCCUGAUCAAAAGCAGAUCUGAGCCUCAAUUGUAGUCAAGUGUAUUUUAUUGCAAAAUUUCAAAAAGAAAAAAAUAAAAAUAAAAAACACUCUGAACUUGCCCCCCUCUCUGUGCAACGGCGAACUACAAAAUCUACAAUAAUCAGAAGUUCAAAACCCAUAUAUUUCAGUAUAUUUAUCUGUCAAAUUUGGGUAAGUGAGGCGUUUGAGAGCAGAUCUGAAACGGGGAUGAUGUUUUUCGAAAAUCUACGGGGGAUUGGUUGGCAGGAAAGCAUUAUAUACAUAUAUGUUGUAAUUGUUUGCUUCCCUACUCCACCCAUUCCUAUGGUUUUCAGUGUUCUCUUUCUUUUCUUAGUCAGUUUCAUCAUCUCUUUUACACACACUCAAACACACACACACACGUAUAUGUAUGUAUGUAUAUAUUGUUUAUAUUUCAGUGUAUCUAUCUGUCUGCAAGAAUCAAAAGUUAAAAACCUAUUACCUAUAUCAAAACCCAUAUCGGCAUAUCAUUUCAGAUUGUUCAAAAAAUCAAAACCCAUAUCUUUCAGUUUCCAUCGCCCGCUGUUCCAGUUCGGGUUCGCCGUUCGCAAGCUUCAGCCGCUGGCCCGCUGUCUCUCAACUCUCAAGCUAUGGAAAAAGAAUGAGGCUCGUUCAGAGGGAUGGGUUGUUUCUAAGGGUGGUUGCCCGUCUCUGUAAACGAUGAUCUCCUACAAAAUAAAGGAUAUGAGAUCAUCUAGAGCCAAUGAUUUCAUUUCCUACAGAAUCAGCAGCCCUUUGUGUGUAGUGUAUAUAUAUAUUUUUUUGUGUGCGCGCGUGCGUGCUGGACUGGUGCAUCUGCAGUCCUUCUUCAUCUUCUUCCAUCAUCAUCAUCAUCAUCAUCAUCAUCAUCAAUCAUCAUUAUAAGAGGCUGUGAUGAUAUAUGUUCUGAGUGGAUCAUACUGGCAUUGAGAAUCAGAUGUUUUGUUGGCAGGGCAAACCAGAGGGUCUGUGGGAGAGAGAUUUGGUUCUUCUCUCACAGGCAACUGUUGUUGCACCAGGGUGGUGGGAUAUACUCUUGCCCUGAUCAAAAGCAGAUCUAAGCCUCAAUUGUAGUCAAGUGUAUUUUAUUGAAAAUUUUCAAAAAAAAAAUCUCUGAUCUUUAUAUUUUUAAAAAUAUAUAUAUAUAUUUUUCUAUUUGGUGAAAUUUUUUAUGAUCUUUCUUAUAUAAUUUUUUUUUUUUUACAAUAUAAAGUAACAAAAUUUGCAUAGCAUUUUGAGGUAAUCAUCGUAAUCUACAUUUUAUUUUAGCAAAGCAAAUAUAUAUAUAUUUUAUUUUAGCAAAGCAAAUAUAUAUAUAUUUUAUUUAUAUAACUUCUAUUGUUUUUUUUUUUUUUUUGGUUGUCAAUUAUGUCCACAAGAAAUUUGAAUCUGGGCAUGAAAAAAGAAAAAAAAAAAAAAAAGAAUCUGAAUUGGAUUAGAAAUCUGCUGAGAUUGAAUCUGAAACAAUUUUUAUCAACAUGCCAAGCUUUUUGAAGACGGAAAUCUUUUCAGAACUAAAAAAAAAAAAAAUCAUAACAAGAACUUUGACAGGCAAAAGUAGUUAAUUUAGGGUAAAGUUACUUCUUGAAAAUUAAAAUACUUACAGAAAGCAUGCUUUUGAGUGAAUUCCAUAGUGUUGGAAGGGGCUUGCCAUGAACUACCUCACACUCUGCUUCCAGUCGUAGAUUCUCAAAUAGGAUUGGUAAAUUGGUCAAAAGAAGAGAUAGGGUACUGAGUGGUGAAUUGUUCAGAAAUAAAUUGGUAAUUUUUUUUUAAUUACCCAAAUAGGAUUUUCUAUGCAUUAAUCAGUCAAUUGUCUAAAGAAACGUUGUUAAUUAACUAAAAUUGAAUUAAACAGUUGAUUUUGGUUGAUAUAUGUUUAUUUAGCCCACCCCAUUGAGAAAUCCUGGAUCUCUCUCUCUCUCUCUCUCUCUCUCUCUCUCUCUCUAUAUAUAUAUAUAUAUAUAUAUAUAUAUACAGUGGGUUGCUAUAAAUCACAACUACUCUCUAUCAGCCAACAGUUCGUCGACGCCUUGCAAAGCGGUGGCUGACCGCCACAUAGGUCAUGGAAGAAGCUUCUGUAGGCAAUUACCAGUUGAACUGUGUGGAAGAAAGUUGUUGGACUGAGCGGUGUCGGUAAUAGGAUCUGGAUCCGCUAGCCCUCCUCUGGAUAAGUCCCCACUAGGAGGAAAGGGUUAUCUGAAGGGGCUUCAUCAGUCGGGUGUUUUAUGACAAACCCAGCUACGAGGCUCGAUUGAUCCACGAAUCCAAGGUAGGACUAGUGUUGGCAUUUGGCAUUCAACUGAAGUAGGGCAUUUCAACACUGUUUCAGUUUCCUUGUUUAAUUUGGUGUAUGUAGUACUUUUUCUUAUCGUGUAUGUUUGUACCAGAUCAAUGUGGUGAGGAUUGUACACCACCAUAUCAUGAUGUAUGUAGUACUUUGUGUCAAAUCAUGGCAUUCAAUGUGUUGAAAGUAGGGCUGCAAGAACCUAGCCCAGUCCCAACUCAAUGUGAAAAAAAUUUGGGCUCUGACAGUAAUCCAAGCCUGAGUGUGUUCGGGUUGA
Cornus florida is the source of this 6768-nucleotide long non-coding RNA. RefSeq lists it as uncharacterized. The record is from RefSeq and is a predicted model, not a curated record. Lineage: Eukaryota; Viridiplantae; Streptophyta; Magnoliopsida; Cornales; Cornaceae. The transcript is spliced from 5 exons.